Molecule: ribosomal RNA, 253 nt
Filed under: uncultured bacterium
Lineage: Bacteria
Description: partial 16S ribosomal RNA
Rfam family: Bacterial small subunit ribosomal RNA
Source: RNAcentral
UACGUAGGGGGCUAGCGUUGUCCGGAAUCAUUGGGCGUAAAGCGCGUGUAGGCGGUCCGGUAAGUCCGCUGUGAAAGUCGGGGGCUCAACCCUCGAAAGCCGGUGGAUACUGUGAGACUUGAGUACGGAAGAGGAGAGUGGAAUUCCUGGUGUAGCGGUGAAAUGCGCAGAUAUCAGGAGGAACACCAACGGCGAAGGCAGCUCUCUGGGACGUUACUGACGCUGAGACGCGAAAGCGUGGGGAGCAAACAGG